Non-coding RNA from Hydra vulgaris (swiftwater hydra), 495 nucleotides. The record is from RefSeq and is a predicted model, not a curated record. NCBI's taxonomy places the organism in Eukaryota, Metazoa, Cnidaria, Hydrozoa, Anthoathecata, Hydridae.
GAAAUAAAGACAAUUAUUUCCAUAGUUGACACAAACUUUGGGUCAACUGCUUUCAGUGUCCGAACCUUGGCAUUCCAUAAAGACGAUAAGUGUAUGGGAAAUUAUUGGUAUAGACUUUGCUGGACUAUUUACUGAAACAUCAAUGGGUAACAAAUACUUCAUGAAUUGUACUGUAUAUAAGAUCUUGGGUAUAAAAAGACAAAAAACUGCUGUUUAUCACCCACAAACAAAUGAACAAGAUGAAAAUACAAAUAAAAGUAUAAAAAGAAAAAUCAGAAAACUUGAGGAAAUUCAGUCAAACUGGGAUGAGUAUCUUGACAUUUUUCUAUCCCUUAUAUAUUAGAAGGCAAACUUCUACAAAAGUGUCACCUUUUGAGUUGAUAUUUGGUGGUCGUUCACCUGUUUGCAUAAGUGAGUUUAAAGAAGUAAGUAUAUUUGGGAUAAUAUGUUCACCAAUCACACUUAUUUUAUAUAUAUAUAUCACUUUAACUUGAC